RNAcentral lists this transfer RNA (73 nucleotides) under Myotis brandtii (Brandt's bat). It matches the Rfam family "tRNA". From Rfam's summary of the family: Transfer RNA (tRNA) molecules are approximately 80 nucleotides in length. Lineage: Eukaryota; Metazoa; Chordata; Mammalia; Chiroptera; Vespertilionidae. The record is from Rfam by way of RNAcentral.
GCCGGUGUGGCUCAGGGGAUAGAGCGCCAGCCUGUAGACUGGAGGGUCCCGGGUUCAAAUCCGGUCAAGGGCA